UGGGGAAUUUUGGACAAUGGGCGAAAGCCUGAUCCAGCAAUGCCGCGUGUGUGAAGAAGGCCUUCGGGUUGUAAAGCACUUUUGUCCGGAAAGAAAUCCUCUGGUUAAUACCUCGGGGGGAUACGGUACCGGAAGAAUAAGCACCGGCUAACUACGUGCCAGCAGCCGCGGUAAUACGUAGGGUGCAAGCGUUAAUCGGAAUUACUGGGCGUAAAGCGUGCGCAGGCGGUUUGCUAAGACCGAUGUGAAAUCCCCCGGGGCUCAACCUGGGACUGCAUUGGUGACUGGCAGGCUAGAGNAUGGCAGAGGGGGGUAGAAUUCCACUGUACAGUGAAAGUGCGUAGAGAUGUGGAGGAAUACCGAUGGCGAAGGCAGCCCCCU
This 381-nucleotide ribosomal RNA is filed under the name uncultured bacterium. Its description in RNAcentral is "partial 16S ribosomal RNA". It matches the Rfam family "Bacterial small subunit ribosomal RNA", at positions 355 to 730 of the family's 1533-position model. The record is from RNAcentral.